This 559-nucleotide ribosomal RNA is filed under the name uncultured Clostridium sp. RNAcentral's name for it is "bacterial SSU rRNA". It matches the Rfam family "Bacterial small subunit ribosomal RNA", at positions 94 to 668 of the family's 1533-position model. Lineage: Bacteria; Bacillati; Bacillota; Clostridia; Eubacteriales; Clostridiaceae. The record is from RNAcentral.
AGUGGCGGACGGGCGAGUAACGCGUGAGCAACCUGCCUUGUACUGGGGGAUAACGUCGGGAAACCGGCGCUAAUACCGCAUAACACUACGAAAUCGCAUGGUUUUGUAGUCAAAGCUCCGGCGGUACAAGAUGGGCUCGCGUCCGAUUAGCUAGUUGGUAGGGUAACGGCCUACCAAGGCGACGAUCGGUAGCCGAACUGAGAGGUUGAUCGGCCACAUUGGGACUGAGACACGGCCCAGACUCCUACGGGAGGCAGCAGUGGGGAAUAUUGCGCAAUGGGGGAAACCCUGACGCAGCAACGCCGCGUGAAGGAAGAAGGCCUUCGGGUUGUAAACUUCUUUGAUUGGGGACGAAGAAAGUGACUGUACCCAAAAAACAAGCCACGGCUAACUACGUGCCAGCAGCCGCGGUAAUACGUAGGUGGCAAGCGUUGUCCGGAAUUACUGGGUGUAAAGGGCGUGUAGGCGGGGAUGCAAGUCAGAUGUGAAAUUCCGGGGCUUAACCCCGGCGCUGCAUCUGAAACUGUAUCUCUUGAGUGCUGGAGAGGAAAGCGGAAUU